GACGAACGCUGGCGGCGUGCUUAACACAUGCAAGUCGAACGGAAAGGCCCUGCUUUUGUGGGGUGCUCGAGUGGCGAACGGGUGAGUAACACGUGAGUAACCUGCCCUUGACUUUGGGAUAACUUCAGGAAACUGGGGCUAAUACCGGAUAGGAGCUCCUGCUGCAUGGUGGGGGUUGGAAAGUUUCGGCGGUUGGGGAUGGACUCGCGGCUUAUCAGCUUGUUGGUGGGGUAGUGGCUUACCAAGGCUUUGACGGGUAGCCGGCCUGAGAGGGUGACCGGCCAAAUUGGGACUGAGAUACGGCCCAGACUCCUACGGGAGGCAGCAGUGGGGAAUAUUGCACAAUGGGCGGAAGCCUGAUGCAGCAACGCCGCGGGCGGGGUGACGGCCUUCGGGGUGUAAACCGCUUUCGCCUGUGACGAAGCGGGAGUGACGGUAAUGGGUAAAGAAGCAACGGCUAAAUACGUG
This 468-nucleotide ribosomal RNA is filed under the name uncultured bacterium. Its description in RNAcentral is "partial 16S ribosomal RNA". It matches the Rfam family "Bacterial small subunit ribosomal RNA", at positions 28 to 507 of the family's 1533-position model. The record is from RNAcentral.